RNAcentral lists this non-coding RNA (181 nucleotides) under Oxobacter pfennigii. The record is from RNAcentral. Lineage: Bacteria; Bacillati; Bacillota; Clostridia; Eubacteriales; Clostridiaceae.
AAUUAAAGACUAUAAACAGGUGUCGAUUAAUUGAGUCGAUGAAAAGGGAAAUGGGUUGAAAUCCCAUGCGGUCCCGCCGCUGUAAAAGAGUAGUCCUUGCAAAUAUGCCACUGGGCAACCGGGAAGGCUGUAAGGAUGAUGAUACUUGAGCCAGAAGACCUGCCUGUUUGUAAACCAUAAA